RNAcentral lists this ribosomal RNA (269 nucleotides) under uncultured bacterium. RNAcentral's name for it is "partial 16S ribosomal RNA". It matches the Rfam family "Bacterial small subunit ribosomal RNA", at positions 87 to 354 of the family's 1533-position model. The record is from RNAcentral.
UUAUUUUAGCGGCGGACGGGUGAGUAACGUGUGGGUAACCUGCCUUUUACUGUGGAAUAAUCGUUGGAAACGACGACUAAUACCGCAUACGAUUUUCUGAAGGCAUCUUCGGAAAAAGAAAGGAAAUAUUCGGUAAAAGAUGGGCCCGCAUCUGAUUAGCUAGUUGGUGAGAUAAUAGCCCACCAAGGCAACGAUCAGUAGCCGACCUGAGAGGGUGACCGGCCACAUUGGGACUGAGACACGGCCCAAACUCCUACGGGAGGCAGCAG